UGGGGAAUAUUGCACAAUGGGCGCAAGCCUGAUGCAGCAAUGCCGCGUGAGUGAAGACGGCCUUAGGGUCGUAAAGCUCUUUCGCCUGUGAAGAUAAUGACGGUAGCAGGUAAAGAAGCCCCGGCUAACUCCGUGCCAGCAGCCGCGGUAAUACGGAGGGGGCGAGCGUUAUUCGGAAUUAUUGGGCGUAAAGGGCGCGUAGGCGGCCCGAUAAGUCCAAGGUGAAAGCCCUCGGCUCAACCGAGGAACUGCCUUGGAUACUGUCGGGCUCGAGGCUGGAAGAGGGUGAUGGGAAUUUCCCCGGUGUAGCGGUGAAAUGCGUAGAUAUCGGGAGGAACACCGGUGGCGAAGGCGGUCACCUGGGCCAGUACUGACGCUGAGGCGCG
Molecule: ribosomal RNA, 386 nt
Filed under: uncultured bacterium
Lineage: Bacteria
Description: bacterial SSU rRNA
Rfam family: Bacterial small subunit ribosomal RNA
Source: RNAcentral